UUCUGAUAUAUCUCGUUCUGUAGCUGGAAGCUAUGAAAAUGAAGCUAUACUGCUUGGCUGAGUUGUUCUAUCAACUUCACUUUCUCAUGGGCUUGUAGAGACUGGUGGUCCUGGCCCCUGGGUACAUUAUUGACUUCAUUGGUGCUUGUUGUUGGCUUCAGAGAUGAUGACCUUGGAACACUUUGCAUUGUUUUUGGUGAGUUAAUCGGAAGUGGUGGCUAAUUGGGCGCCUUCCUAUUGAUAGAUCCUACUCUAAUCAAAAUUGUGGAUGCUUUCUCCUCCCAUUCUGCUUUGAACCAAUUUAAAUAUUUAAUAUCUGUUUUGCUUGUGGCACAUAAUUUCCUAUUUUCUGAUGUUCUUUUCCUUGUUUUUUUCCUUGUAGGAUGGUAAAAUCGUAAAAUAGUUCCCUUGCUUGUAGUUUUUUUACUGUAUAACAUAGCAAAUGGAGCCGAAACUUUUUUCUUUACUAAUUUCUUAGGGUUGGUCUUUACUGCCGUUGUGACAAUACUUGUAGCAGAGGUGGCCUCCAGCCCAACAAAGGAAUGUAGUGGUCGCAGUUUGAGUCUUCUUGAACAAGUAUAUGCUAUUAGCUGCCGACGAGACAAUCUUACUUUAAGGGCAACAACGUUUUUGGCCUUCUUGGUUCCAGCUGGCAUAAUUGUUUGGCUGAGCUUGUGUUCGCUCCAGCUGCACGCAUUAUGGCUGGAAUGGAUGCUUUCGCUGUUUUCACAUGCUCAGUCAAAUUUCAAAUGCCUGGAUUACUAGGGGAUUCUGAUUGUGUCAGGUCUUCACCACAAACCAUCUGAUGGUGUAAAAACACAAAUUGAAACCUCCAAGGAACAUGAUCAAAGGAAGACAGGGAUGAGCACAUGUGGAGAAAUAGGGUUGCGCCCGUAUCAGUG
Long non-coding RNA from Papaver somniferum (opium poppy), 902 nucleotides. RefSeq lists it as uncharacterized. NCBI's taxonomy places the organism in Eukaryota, Viridiplantae, Streptophyta, Magnoliopsida, Ranunculales, Papaveraceae. The transcript has 5 exons. The record is from RefSeq and is a predicted model, not a curated record.